Molecule: ribosomal RNA, 663 nt
Filed under: Triticum aestivum (bread wheat)
Lineage: Eukaryota; Viridiplantae; Streptophyta; Magnoliopsida; Poales; Poaceae
Description: partial small subunit ribosomal RNA
Source: RNAcentral
AUGGACGGCCUCCUCCAUUGGGAUUUCUCCCCCGGCUCAAAGAUCGAGUGCCAGGUGCGUGCUCGCUUUGGAUCUAUGGUUCACUUUUUCCCCAACCCCAACUCCAAGGAGUUCUUCCUUGAAGUUUCUUUCUCCUUGGCCUCGUUUCCUCUCUCAGUGGAAUCUGUGGGAUUGGCUCUUCGGUCUUGCAUUGGUGGAAUCAGUGAUGGUUUCAAGCUGCUUCGUCUGGGUGAUCAACAUUUCCGGUUUUCAGUGGCAUCUAAUCGUGUUGGACAUUUCAUGUAUGGCCUUCGAGACUGCAUUUGGCCGGAUUUCAUAUGUCACUUCCAUCUCCAUCGUGGUUCUCAGUCUCAUGUUCAAUUAUUUGGAUGGAAUGCGGAUUCCGAGAUCAAUGAUCUAGCCUCUUCACCUGGCCCGGCUAUCAAGUUUAAAUGGCUAGCAUCUAAAUCUAUGGCGGUCUCUGACACGGUCUCUCUCUCUCUCUCUCUCUCUCUCUCUGUUUUUGAGAAGUUUGGGCUCAUCACCACGCCGACGGUGGGACAUUCUGGUGAAGGUGACACACCGGAUCUCAAUUUUGGAAGGUUAUCUUUUUCGGUUUCUCGGGAUAAUCAUCAUCUUUUUCAUAUUGGGACUGUUAACUUGCCUGUCCGGCCGGAUUCUUAG